UGUGAACGUUACCAAACUGUUGCCUCGGCGGGAUCUCUGCCCCGGGUGCGUCGCAGCCCCGGACCAAGGCGCCCGCCGGAGGACCAACCAAAACUCUUUUUGUAUACCCCCUCGCGGGUUUUUUUAUAAUCUGAGCCUUCUCGGCGCCUCUCGUAGGCGUUUCGAAAAUGAAUCAAAACUUUCAACAACGGAUCUCUUGGUUCUGGCAUCGAUGAAGAACGCAGCGAAAUGCGAUAAGUAAUGUGAAUUGCAGAAUUCAGUGAAUCAUCGAAUCUUUGAACGCACAUUGCGCCCGCCAGUAUUCUGGCGGGCAUGCCUGUCCGAGCGUCAUUUCAACCCUCGAACCCCUCCGGGGGGUCGGCGUUGGGGAUCGGCCCUGCCUCUUGGCGGUGCCCGUCUCCGAAAUACAGUGGCGGUCUCGCCGCAGCCUCUCCUGCGCAGUAGUUUGCACACUCGCAUCGGGAGCGCGGCGCGUCCACAGCCGUUAAACACCCAACUUCUGAAAUG
RNAcentral lists this unclassified non-coding RNA (507 nucleotides) under Trichoderma harzianum. Its description in RNAcentral is "partial contains 18S rRNA, ITS1, 5.8S rRNA, ITS2 and 28S RNA". The stretch from base 177 to 330 matches the Rfam family "5.8S ribosomal RNA". The record is from RNAcentral. Lineage: Eukaryota; Fungi; Ascomycota; Sordariomycetes; Hypocreales; Hypocreaceae.